This 368-nucleotide ribosomal RNA is filed under the name uncultured bacterium. RNAcentral describes it as "bacterial SSU rRNA". It matches the Rfam family "Bacterial small subunit ribosomal RNA", at positions 527 to 896 of the family's 1533-position model. The record is from RNAcentral.
GUAGGGGGCUAGCGUUAUCCGGAAUUACUGGGCGUAAAGGGUGCGUAGGUGGUUUCUUAAGUCAGAGGUGAAAGGCUACGGCUCAACCGUAGUAGGCCUUUGAAACUGGGAAACUCGAGUGCAGGAGAGGAGAGUGGAAUUCCUAGUGUAGCGGUGAAAUGCGUAGAUAUUAGGAGGAACACCAGUUGCGAAGGCGGCUCUCUGGACUGUAACUGACACUGAGGCACGAAAGCGUGGGGAGCAAACAGGAUUAGAUACCCUGGUAGUCCACGCCGUAAACGAUGAGUACUAGCUGUCGGAGGUUACCCCCUUCGGUGGCGCAGCUAACGCAUUAAGUACUCCGCCUGGGAAGUACGCUCGCAAGAGUG